RNAcentral lists this non-coding RNA (112 nucleotides) under Geoalkalibacter ferrihydriticus. RNAcentral describes it as "TPP sequence". It matches the Rfam family "TPP riboswitch aptamer (THI element)". From Rfam's summary of the family: Vitamin B(1) in its active form thiamin pyrophosphate (TPP) is an essential coenzyme that is synthesised by coupling of pyrimidine and thiazole moieties in bacteria. The previously detected thiamin-regulatory element, thi box was extended, resulting in a new, highly conserved RNA secondary structure, the THI element, which is widely distributed in eubacteria and also occurs in some archaea. The record is from RNAcentral. RNAcentral also lists the same sequence under 1 other name. Lineage: Bacteria; Pseudomonadati; Thermodesulfobacteriota; Desulfuromonadia; Desulfuromonadales; Geoalkalibacteraceae.
CGAACGCCCUAGGGGAGUGCAAACUGAGAGUUCCGCCGGCCGGCAGGCCGCUGGAAGACCCUUGGAACCUGAUCCGGCUCACACCGGCGUAGGGAAGCGGCGUCACAGCAGA